GCAAGUCGAGCGCACCUUCGGGUGAGCGGCGGACGGGUGAGUAACGCGUAGGAAUCUGCCCAAAAGUGGGGGAUAACUUGGGGAAACUCAAGCUAAUACCGCAUAUACCUAAGGGUGAAAGGUGGGGAUCUUCGGACCUACCGCUUUUGGAGGAGCCUGCGUCGGAUUAGCUAGUUGGUGGGGUAAAGGCCUACCAAGGCGACGAUCCGUAGCUGGUCUGAGAGGAUGGCC
RNAcentral lists this ribosomal RNA (231 nucleotides) under uncultured bacterium. RNAcentral describes it as "partial 16S ribosomal RNA". It matches the Rfam family "Bacterial small subunit ribosomal RNA", at positions 57 to 305 of the family's 1533-position model. The record is from RNAcentral.